This 447-nucleotide ribosomal RNA is filed under the name uncultured bacterium. RNAcentral's name for it is "bacterial SSU rRNA". It matches the Rfam family "Bacterial small subunit ribosomal RNA", at positions 329 to 793 of the family's 1533-position model. The record is from RNAcentral.
UUCCAGACUCCUACGGGAGGCAGCAGUGGGGAAUAUUGCACAAUGGGGGAAACCCUGAUGCAGCGACGCCGCGUGAGUGAAGAAGUAUUUCGGUAUGUAAAGCUCUAUCAACAGGGAAGAAAAUGACGGUACCUGACUAAGAAGCCCCGGCUAACUACGUGCCAGCAGCCGCGGUAAUACGUAGGGGGCAAGCGUUAUCCGGAUUUACUGGGUGUAAAGGGAGCGUAGACGGCAGCACAAGUCUGGAGUGAAAUGCCGAGGCUUAACCCCGGAACUGCUUUGGAAACUGUGCAGCUAGAGUGCAGGAGAGGUAAGUGGAAUUCCUAGUGUAGCGGUGAAAUGCGUAGAUAUUAGGAGGAACACCAGUGGCGAAGGCGGCUUACUGGACUGUAACUGACGUUGAGGCUCGAAAGCGUGGGGAGCAAACAGGAUUAGAUACCCGGGUAU